RNAcentral lists this ribosomal RNA (471 nucleotides) under Batrachuperus pinchonii (Western Chinese mountain salamander). Its description in RNAcentral is "partial 12S ribosomal RNA". It matches the Rfam family "Bacterial small subunit ribosomal RNA", at positions 11 to 820 of the family's 1533-position model. The record is from RNAcentral. Lineage: Eukaryota; Metazoa; Chordata; Amphibia; Caudata; Hynobiidae.
GUUUGGUCCUAGCCUUAUUAUUAAUUAAAAUUAUAUUUAUACAUGCAAGUCUCAGCACCCCUGUGAAAAUGCCCUUUUUUACCAUGAAGCGAACAAGGAGCGGAUAUCAGGCACAUCUAUGCCCACAACAUCUUGCCAAGCCACACCUCUACAGGAAUUCAGCAGUAAUAAACAUUGAAUAAUAAGCGUCAACAAGCUUGAGUCAGUAAUAAUUUUAAGGGUUGGUAAAUUUCGUGCCAGCCACCGCGGUUAUACGAGAAACCCAAAUCAAUAAAAACGGCCUAAAGCGUGGUUAAAUAAUAUUAAACUCAAUAGAAAUAAAAAUUAACUUAACUGUUAUACGUAUUUGUUAAACGGAUACCCAAAACCGAAAGAUAUUCUAAUAAACAAAUUACUUGAACCCACGAAAGCUAAGAAACAAACUAGGAUUAGAUACCCUAUUAUGCUUAGCCUUAAACUUUGGAAACCCCC